CAGUCGCCGCGGUAAUACGUAGGUGGCAAGCGUUGUCCGGAAUUAUUGGGCGUAAAGGGCUCGCAGGCGGUUUCUUAAGUCUGAUGUGAAAGCCCCCGGCUCAACCGGGGAGGGUCAUUGGAAACUGGGAAACUUGAGUGCAGAAGAGGAGAGUGGAAUUCCACGUGUAGCGGUGAAAUGCGUAGAGAUGUGGAGGAACACCAGUGGUGAAGGCGACUCUCUGGUCUGUAACUGACGCUGAGGAGCGAAAGCGUGGGGAGCGAACAGGAUUAGAUACCCCAGUAGUCCCUGUCUCUUAUAA
This 301-nucleotide ribosomal RNA is filed under the name uncultured bacterium. RNAcentral describes it as "partial 16S ribosomal RNA". It matches the Rfam family "Bacterial small subunit ribosomal RNA", at positions 509 to 809 of the family's 1533-position model. The record is from RNAcentral.